GACGAACGCUGGCGGCGUGCCUAAUACAUGCAAGUUGAGCGAUGAAGAUUGGUGCUUGCACCAAUUUGAAGAGCAGCGAACGGGUGAGUAACGCGUGGGGAAUCUGCCUUUGAGCGGGGGACAACAUUUGGAAACGAAUGCUAAUACCGCAUAAUAACUUUAAACAUAAGUUUUAAGUUUAAAAGAUGCAAUUGCAUCACUCAAAGAUGAUCCCGCGUUGUAUUAGCUAGUUGGUGAGGUAAAGGCUCACCAAGGCGAUGAUACAUAGCCGACCUGAGAGGGUGAUCGGCCACAUUGGGACUGAGACACGGCCCAAACUCCUACGGGAGGCAGCAGUAGGGAAUCUUCGGCAAUGGACGAAAGUCUGACCGAGCAACGCCGCGUGAGUGAAGAAGGUUUUCGGAUCGUAAAACUCUGUUGGUAGAGAAGAACGUUGGUGAGAGUGGAAAGCUCAUCAAGUGACGGUAACUACCCAGAAAGGGACGGCUAACUACGUG
Molecule: ribosomal RNA, 497 nt
Filed under: uncultured bacterium
Lineage: Bacteria
Description: partial 16S ribosomal RNA
Rfam family: Bacterial small subunit ribosomal RNA
Source: RNAcentral